This is a non-coding RNA of Monodelphis domestica (gray short-tailed opossum), 2211 nucleotides long. NCBI's taxonomy places the organism in Eukaryota, Metazoa, Chordata, Mammalia, Didelphimorphia, Didelphidae. The record is from RefSeq and is a predicted model, not a curated record.
AGCAUGGACUAGACCUGAGGCUGGGGUUAGACUCUUUGGUCCGGGUGGCCGGGCCCCAGCGCACGGACCAACGUUCUAAAGGAGGAGAGAACUCGGAGCCCAGCUAGGGGCGGGAUUUCAUGAUGCAAGAGGAUGGAUGACCACCUGUUUGGGAUAUAACAGAAAGGAUUCCUGCAUUGGAUUGGAGAUUGACUGUCUGGCCUUUAGGAUCACAUCAUUAAAUUUUAAAAUUAUUUAUCUGGGAGAGAAAGUUAAUGUAUGGGAGAACCCAGGACUCAAAAAGGCUUCAGAAGGUUUAAUAAUGGGUCAAAACUAACGAAAUAAAAUUUAAUAGUGAUGAAUGUGAAGGCCUGCAUUUAGGUUCAAAAAAUCAAUGUGCAAGUUCAGGAUGGAGGAAAACCUGCCUUAACAGCAAUUAAUAUUAAAAAAAAAUUAGGGUUUUUAGUUCACUGAAAGUUCAAUAUAAGUCAAUGCUAUAAUAUGACUGCCAAUAAAAGCUAAUGCAGACUUUGCAUUAAGAGAAGCCUAGUGUCUGGGACAAGAAAGGAAGCAGUCUCACUACACCAAGAUUAUAAAAGAUCUGGAUCCCAUGUCAUGUAAGAAACAAAUAUACAAAUGAGGGAAAUUUUGCCCAGAAAAUGAAGACUUAGAAGGGGAGGAAAGAGAGAUGAUAUCUGUUUUCAAAUACCUGAAGGAUUGUCAAUAUUCAAGAGAAAAUGGAAUUAUUCUGUGUAACUCAAGCCACCAGAACUCUCAUUAAUGAAUGAAAGUUAUAGGGAAGUAGAUUCAAGCUUAAUAUAAGUAAGAACCAAUUGCCAAGUCUUGUUAUUUCUACCAUCACAACAUUUCUUGAAUCUGUCUCCUUCACUGCACUCACAAAGCCACUUCUCUAGCUCAAGUCUUAACUCCUCUUGGCUAGAGUAUUACAGAAGCCUAACUGAUCUCUCACCCUCAAAUUUCUUCUCUAAUAUUUUAUACAGCUCCCAAGGUGAUAUAAUUAAAAUGUUGGUCUGACUAUAUCACUCCAUUGCUUGGUUAAAAUACAGUGGCAGCAUCUUGCCUGUAUGAUAAAACAUAAACUAUUUUUCAAUGAAGGCCCAUUACAACCUGGCAGUAACCAUCUUUCCUAAUUUAUUACCCCACUUCCGUUGCUCUAAAGUUCAGCCACUCUUACUGUUCUACAGAUUUCUACUUCGCAGCUCCCUAUCACUGUACAGGCUGUUUCCCAAGCCUUAAAUGCUCUACCUCCUUACUUCACUUCAGAAAAUCUUACACUUCUUUCAAGACUCAACUUUCUAGGGCCAUACCUCCAUAGUUACCUUAUAUUUGUUUUGCAUAUAUUUAUUCCAUAUAUUCUUCCCAUUACACUCACAUACAGAUACAUGCAUGCAAUAAAUUUAAGCAUCUUGAGAAUAGAGAUUUUUUCAUCUUUGCUUCUAUAUCCCCACCAUCUGGCACAAUGUUUAACAUGUAGGGCAUAGGCCAAAGGGCCAUAAAACUGUGCAUACUCUUUGACCCAGCAAUACCACUACUAGGUCUGUACCCCAUAGAGAGUAAAGAUGGAGGAAGAUAAUCUACUUGUGCAAAAAUAUUUAUGUCUUUUUGUGGUGGGAAAGAACUGGAAAUUAAAGGAAUAUCCAACAAUUGGAGAAUUACUGAUUAAAAUUGUGGUAUAUGAUUGUAAUGGAAUACUAUUGUGCCAUUAGAAAUGAUAAACAAGAUGAUCACAAAAAAACGAGAAAGAAAUGAAAGUGAUGAAAUGAAGUGAUACAAAGCAAAGUUGGCAGAAUAAAUAGUACAUUAUACACAGUAACAAUAAUAAUGUACGAUGCUCAAAUGUGAAUGGUUUAACUAUUAUCAAUAAGGCAAAGAUCCAGGACAAUUCCAAGAGACUCAAUUAAAAAAAAGGAUAUCCACUACCAUAGAAGGAAUAGUUGAAAUUAGAAUGCAAAUUGAAACAUCAUUCUUUAUUUCUCCCAUGCAUUUUUCUCUGUGUAAGCAAUGUAUGUCUUUCACAACAUAAUGAACUUGAAAUAUGCAUUAUAUAUUAAUAUAUGUGAAACCUAUCUCAUAUUACCUGAAUUAUUGGGGAGGUGGGAGAUAUGGAAGGGAGAGAGAGAAAAUGGGUUGCAAAAUAAUAGAAAACAAAUAUUUUAAAAAUUAUAUUGAUAUGUAAUCUGAAAAAAUUAAAAUGUAUUAUAUUAAAAAUUA